This 532-nucleotide ribosomal RNA is filed under the name uncultured archaeon. RNAcentral describes it as "bacterial SSU rRNA". It matches the Rfam family "Archaeal small subunit ribosomal RNA", at positions 327 to 859 of the family's 1478-position model. The record is from RNAcentral.
GGGGUGCAGCAGGCGCGAAACCUCCGCAAUGUGAGAAAUCGCGACGGGGGGAUCCCAAGUGCCAUUCUUAACGGGAUGGCUUUUCAUUAGUGUAAAGAGCUUUUGGAAUAAGGGCUGGGCAAGACCGGUGCCAGCCGCCGCGGUAACACCGGCAGCUCUAGUGGUAGCAGUUUUUAUUGGGCCUAAAGCGUCCGUAGCCGGUUUAAUAAGUCUCUGGUGAAAUCCUGUAGCUUAACUGUGGGAAUUGCUGGAGAUACUAUUAGACUUGAGACCGGGAGAGGUUAGAGGUACUCCCAGGGUAGAGGUGAAAUUCUGUAAUCCUGGGAGGACCGCCUGUUGCGAAGGCGUCUAACUGGAACGGUUCUGACGGUGAGGGACGAAAGUUAGGGGCGCGAACCGGAUUAGAUACCCGGGUAGUCCUAACUGUAAACGAUGCGGACUUGGUGUUGGGGUGGCUUUGAGCUGCUCCAGUGCCGAAGGGAAGCUGUUAAGUCCGCCGCCUGGGAAGUACGGUCGCAAGACUGAAACUUAA